This 2077-nucleotide ribosomal RNA is filed under the name human metagenome. Its description in RNAcentral is "bacterial LSU rRNA". It matches the Rfam family "Bacterial large subunit ribosomal RNA", at positions 3 to 2108 of the family's 2925-position model. The record is from RNAcentral.
UCAAGUUACAAAGGGCGCAGGGCGGAUGCCUUGGCACCAGGAGCCGAAGAAGGACGUGAUAAGCUGCGAAAAGCUGCGGGGAGGAGCAAAUAUCCAUUGAUCCGCAGGUAUCCGAAUGGGGAAACCCGGCAGAAAGAACUUCUGUCACCGUAUGAUGAAUCCAUAGUCAUACGGAGGGAACCCGGCGAACUGAAACAUCUAAGUAGCCGGAGGAAGAGGAAGAAACAUCGAAUCCCUAAGUAGUGGCGAGCGAAAGGGGACGAAGCCCAAACCAAGGAUUUAUCCUUGGGGUUGAGGACCACAUACGAAGAAGCAGUAGGUAGCAGAACGGUUUUGGGAAAGCCGGCCAAAGAGAGUGAAAGCCUCGUAUGCGAAACAGACUGUGAUUCAGUGGUAUCCGGAGUACUACGGGACACGAGAAACCCCGUAGGAAGCAGGGGGGACCACCCCCCAAGGCGAAAUACUACCUGGUGACCGAUAGAGUAUAGUACCGUGAGGGAAAGGUGAAAAGAACCCCGGGAGGGGAGUGAAAGAGAACCUGAAACCCUGUGUCUACAAGCUGCGGAAGAGCGACUAACGCUCGACCGUGUACUUUUUGUAGAACGGUCCGGCGAGUUGCCGUUGCUGGCAGGUUAAGUACUUAAGGUACGGAGCCGAAGGGAAACCAAGUCUUAAUAGGGCGGUAAGUCAGUAACGGCAGACCCGAAACCGGGUGACCUACCCAUGGCCAGGAUGAAGUCUGCGUAAAAGUGGAUGGAGGUCCGAACACACGUCUGUUGAAAAAGGCGGUGAUGAGCUGUGGGUAGCGGAGAAAUUCCAAUCGAACUCGGAGAUAGCUGGUUCUCCCCGAAAUAGCUUUAGGGCUAGCCUCGGUAUAGUCUAAUGGAGGUAGAGCACUGAAUCGCUGCGGGGGCGUCAAAGUCUACCAAUGCGUAUCAAACUCCGAAUGCCAUAUAGAUGUUUACCGGGAGUCAGACUGUAUGAGAUAAGUCGGACAGUCAAAAGGGAAACAGCCCAGACCAUCUGCUAAGGUCCCAAAGUGUAUGUUAAGUGGUAAAGGAUGUGGGGUUUCGAAGACAACUAGGAUGUUGGCUCAGAAGCAGCCAUUCAUUCAAAGAGUGCGUAAUAGCUCACUAGUCGAGAGGUCCUGCGCCGAAAAUGUCCGGGGCUGAAACAUAACACCGAAGCAAUGGAAUAUACCGCAAGGUAUGUUGGUAGGGGAGCAUUGAUAACACGAAGAAGCGGUACCGUAAGGAGUCGUGGAGAGUUAUCAAGAGAGAAUGCCGGAAUGAGUAGCGAGAUGAAGGUGAGAAUCCUUCAGGCCGUAUAUCCAAGGUUUCCAGGGUAAAGCUGAUCUUCCCUGGGGAAGUCGGGACCUAAGCUCAGGCUGAGAAGCGUAGGCGAUGGACAACUGGUUGAUAUUCCAGUACCUCUGGCUAUCAGAAAUGUGGGGACACGGAGAUUCAGGGAGUGCCUGUAAAGGAUUCAGGUGCAAGCAUGGUUUAUGCCGGGCAGGCAAAUCCGUCCGGGUAAGUGAACUGUGUGAUGCGGACCGAAAUAUAAGUAGGGAAGCUCCUGGGAGAGCCGUCGAGAAAAGCCGCUAUUGUGUAGUCAGAGCCCGUACCGUAAACCGACACAGGUGGAUGGGGAGAGUAUCCCAAGGCCGGCGGGAGAAGCAUUGUUAAGGAACUCGGCAAAAUGGCCCCGUAAGUUCGCGAUAAGGGGUGCCUGUAGAGAUACAGGCCGCAGAGAAUAGGCUCAAGCAACUGUUUAGCAAAAACACAGGUCUAUGCGAAACCGUAAGGUGAUGUAUAUGGGCUGACGCCUGCCCGGUGCUGGAAGGUUACGGGGAGUGCUUAGGAGCAAUCCGAAGGUACGAACUUAAGCCCCAGUAAACGGCGGCCGUAACUAUAACGGUCCUAAGGUAGCGAAAUUCCUUGUCGGGUAAGUUCCGACCCGCACGAAAGGCGUAAUGAUUUGAGCGCUGUCUCAACAAUGCACCCGGUGAAAUUGAAGUACCAGUGAAGAUGCUGGUUACCCGCGCCAGGACGGAAAGACCCCAUGGAGCUUUACUCCA